RNAcentral lists this ribosomal RNA (388 nucleotides) under uncultured bacterium. RNAcentral's name for it is "bacterial SSU rRNA". It matches the Rfam family "Bacterial small subunit ribosomal RNA", at positions 28 to 424 of the family's 1533-position model. The record is from RNAcentral.
GAUGAACGCUGGCGGAAUGCUUUACACAUGCAAGUCGAACGGUAGAGGGGGCAACCCCUUGAGAGUGGCGAACGGGUGAGUAAUAUAUCGGAACGUGCCCAGUCGUGGGGAUAACGUAGCGAAAGUUACGCUAAUACCGCAUACGAUCUAAGGAUGAAAGCGGGGGAUCGCAAGACCUCGCGCGAUUGGAGCGGCCGAUAUCAGAUUAGGUAGUUGGUGAGGUAAAGGCUCACCAAGCCAACGAUCUGUAGCUGGUCUGAGAGGACGACCAGCUACACUGGAACUGAGACACGGUCCAGACUCCUACGGGAGGCAGCAGUGGGAAUUUUGGACAACGGACGCAAGUCUGAUCCAGCAAUGCCGCGUGCAGGAUGAAGGCCUUCGGGUU